GAUGAACGCUGGCGGUCUGCUUAACACAUGCAAGUCGAACGGAAUCCUUCGGGAUUUAGUGGCGGACGGGUGAGUAACGCGUGAGAAUCUGCCUUCAGGUUCGGGACAACAGCUGGAAACGGCUGCUAAUACCGGAUGUGCCGAGAGGUGAAAGCUUUAGUGCCUGAAGAUGAGCUCGCGUCUGAUUAGCUAGUAGGAGUGGUAAUGGCACCCCUAGGCGACGAUCAGUAGCUGGUCUGAGAGGAUGAUCAGCCACACUGGGACUGAGACACGGCCCAGACGCCUGCGGGAGGCAGCAGUGGGGAAUGUUCCGCAAUGGGCGCAAGCCUGACGGAGCAAGACCGCGUGAGGGAAGAAGGUCUGUGGAUUGUAAACCUCUUUUGAUGGGGAAGAAGACAGUGACGGUACCCAUCGAAUCAGCCUCGGCUAACUCCGUGCCAGCCGCCGCCGUAA
Molecule: ribosomal RNA, 453 nt
Filed under: uncultured bacterium
Lineage: Bacteria
Description: partial 16S ribosomal RNA
Rfam family: Bacterial small subunit ribosomal RNA
Source: RNAcentral